UGGGGAAUCUUGCGCAAUGGGCGAAAGCCUGACGCAGCCAUGCCGCGUGAAUGAUGAAGGUCUUAGGAUUGUAAAGUUCUUUCGCCCGUGACGAUGAUGACGGUAACGGGAGAAGAAGCCCCGGCUAACUUCGUGCCAGCAGCCGCGGUAAUACGAAGGGGGCUAGCGUUGUUCGGAAUUACUGGGCGUAAAGCGUGCGCAGGCGGCUCCUUAAGUCAGAUGUGAAAUCCCCGGGCUUAACCUGGGAACUGCGUUUGAAACUGAGGGGCUAGAGUGUGGAAGAGGGGGGUGGAAUUCCAGGUGUAGCAGUGAAAUGCGUAGAGAUCUGGAGGAACACCGAUGGCGAAGGCAGCCCCCUGGGCUAACACUGACGCUCAUGCACGAAAGCGUGGGGAGCAAACAGGAUUAGAUACCCCCGUAGUCCCUGAGCGGGCUGGCAAGGCGCAU
Molecule: ribosomal RNA, 447 nt
Filed under: uncultured bacterium
Lineage: Bacteria
Description: bacterial SSU rRNA
Rfam family: Bacterial small subunit ribosomal RNA
Source: RNAcentral